UACCUCACAUUUUGUGAGACAGAAAAUAAAUAAUAUUGGAGACUGAGAGAAAAAAGAUAUUGGAGAGAAAUUUAACGAGAAGAGAAAUUAAGACAUUCAAUUUCUUCUAAAAAUCUCUUCAUUUUCUUAUUCCAACCACCGAUCAAACAUAAUGGGUGGCUAAAAAGUUAGAAGCACAAAAACUGCUGUGCUCCUAAUAGCACAGUAUCCUUGCUCUCUCUCUCUCUCUCUCUCUCUCUCUAUAUAUAUAUAUAUACUUCUCACAACUCAUAAUUUGUUAUGAAAAUAAAAUAAAUGAGAGAAAAUUAGUAACAUUAGAAGGUUUUUUUUUUGGAAAGCAAAAAAAAAUUAGAGCUUGGUGAGAUGGUGGUGGAAAAAGUUGAGAGGAAAUUAGUAAUACUAAAAAUUUUUUUUU
This 415-nucleotide long non-coding RNA is filed under the name Ananas comosus (pineapple). Its description in RNAcentral is "long non-coding RNA (ACOM_LNC028630)". Lineage: Eukaryota; Viridiplantae; Streptophyta; Magnoliopsida; Poales; Bromeliaceae. The record is from RNAcentral.